UUACCAGACUCCUACGGGAGGCAGCAGUGAGGAAUAUUGGUCAAUGGGCGGAAGCCUGAACCAGCCAAGUCGCGUGAGGGAUGACGGCCCUACGGGUUGUAAACCUCUUUUGUCGGAGAGCAAAUUCCGCCACGUGUGGCGGAGUCGAGAGUACCCGAAGAAAAAGCAUCGGCUAACUCCGUGCCAGCAGCCGCGGUAAUACGGAGGAUGCGAGCGUUAUCCGGAUUUAUUGGGUUUAAAGGGUGCGUAGGCGGAAUGCCAAGUCAGCGGUAAAAUCGCGGGGCUCAACCUCGCUCCGCCGUUGAAACUGGCGUUCUUGAGUGGGCGAGAAGUAUGCGGAAUGCGUGGUGUAGCGGUGAAAUGCAUAGAUAUCACGCAGAACUCCGAUUGCGAAGGCAGCAUACCGGCGCCCAACUGACGCUGAAGCACGAAAGCGUGGGUAUCGAACAGGAUUAGAUACCCUUGUAUG
This 469-nucleotide ribosomal RNA is filed under the name uncultured bacterium. Its description in RNAcentral is "bacterial SSU rRNA". It matches the Rfam family "Bacterial small subunit ribosomal RNA", at positions 328 to 794 of the family's 1533-position model. The record is from RNAcentral.